GGAAGUAAAAGUGUAACAAGGUUUCCGUAGGUGAACCUGCGGAAGGAUCAUUAAAGAGAAUAUGCCCUUCGGGGUAGAUCUCCCACCCUUUGUUUAUAUUACCUUUGUUGCUUUGGCAGGCCCGUCUUCGGACCACCGGCUUCGGCUGGUCAGUGCUUGCCAGAGGACCCAAAACUCUUAUUAUUAAUGUCGUCUGAGUACUAUAUAAUAGUUAAAACUUUCAACAACGGAUCUCUUGGUUCUG
Molecule: unclassified non-coding RNA, 244 nt
Filed under: plant metagenome
Description: partial contains small subunit ribosomal RNA, internal transcribed spacer 1, and 5.8S ribosomal RNA
Rfam family: Eukaryotic small subunit ribosomal RNA (bases 1-53)
Source: RNAcentral